RNAcentral lists this long non-coding RNA (691 nucleotides) under Anas platyrhynchos platyrhynchos (common mallard). Its description in RNAcentral is "lncRNA (ENSAPLG00000030084.1)". The record is from RNAcentral. Lineage: Eukaryota; Metazoa; Chordata; Aves; Anseriformes; Anatidae.
UUCAAGGUUAUGGUUCCCUCAGCAACUGUAUUUCAGUCACAGUGCAUGUAUAUAAUAAGACAUAAAAGUUAGCAUUUCAUACUGUGAUACAAAAUGUUACACAUGCCCAAGGGGCUUUGAGUUAUGAUUUUUUUUUGCAGGAGUUAAUUUGGUGCUGUUAGUGGAGUGAUUCCUUUAGAGAUGCAGUCAAGGUAACAUUUUACUUUUAAUUUCCCCAUAGCCAUUUUCUUUGGCCUUGUCAGCUGCAAGAAGAAAAUCAAUGAUGCAUAAAUCUCUGCUCAUGUAACUAGGUAGUAACAGUGGAAGAUGCACAGUAGGGAGAGCGCAGAUAUGACUAUGGCUACUUAAAAUUUCUUGGAGCUUGAUAAUACACUUUCUUAAGGAUUUCUCUUUUAUUUCCAGAUGCUUAACCUCAACCAAUGGAAAGGUACCAGUAGAGAAUAAUGGCUAGAAAUAGAAGCAAGGUAAUUACUACUGAACAAUCAUCAACCACUGGAUAUGGACAUGUCAACAGGAGGAACCACAACACCCUGGCUCAGCUACUCCAUGCAGCUUCAUCCCAUUUUACAGAAUGAAUACCUUGAACCAUAUAACAAAAUAAAGGCUCUACUCAGGAUAAUGGAAAUACUUUCUGUGCUGAAGGGAAACCAAUGUGAGGAAGCUGCCUGUUGGCCUGCUGUGCUUAGUGAAA